AUGUGGGCCCAAAUCCUUCGCAGCAAGUACCUACAGACAAAGUCCUUGUCUCAGGUCACUGUCAGGCCAACUGACUCGCCGUUCUGGAAAGGCCUGAUGAAAGUCAAACAAUCGUUGUUUAAUAGGACAAAGGUUGUUAUUGGUAACGGCGCUAGUACACGAUUCUGGGAGGAUACUUGGCUCGGUGAGACACCCUUGGCCAUUCAAUAUCCGUCUCUAUAUCGUAUUGUUCAACGACGUGAGGUGUUCGUUGCUACGGUGUUUCAAUCAAACCCCCUUAAUAUUCAGUUCAGACGGUCGUUAGUGGGCAAUCGUUGGGAAGAUUGGCUCCGUCUAGUUCGGAGACUAAUGGAUGUCCAUCUUUCUCAACAACCCGAUGAAUUACGCUGGAAACUGAAUAGGUCUGGAGUUUUCACGGUUAAAUCAAUGUAUAUUGAUGUGAUUAAUUCGAGCCCCAUUCCUACAUCCAAGCAUGUUUGGGCUGUCAAAGUUCCUUUGAAAAUAAAAGUGUUUAUGUGGUUUGUUCAUAAACAGGUUAUUUUAACCAAGGAUAACUUGAUUAAGCGUAAUUGGACAGGACCUACGAGGUGUAGCUUCUGUGAUCGGGACGAGACAAUCAAGCAUCUCUUUUUUGAUUGCCCGCUUGCCAGAGUACUUUGGCGGACGGUUCACAUUGCUUUUAAUAUUACUCCACCGAAUUCUGUCACCACGUUAUUUGGGACAUGGCUCACUGGGGUUGAGCCUGAAUUAGCGAGACAUAUUCGUGUUGGAGUCUGCGCGUUGUUGUGGACUAUCUGGACUUGCAGAAAUGAUUUGGUUUUUAACAGAAUAUCGCGUAUUCAUUUUUUGCAGGUUAUUUUCCGAGCCACGGCCAUGAUCCGUUCAUGGUCACUACUCACUCCGAUGGUGGCCAGGGAGCAUUUGGUUACUGGAUCUAUCCGCUGGGAGAUGGUAGCUCGGGAUAUCUUCAACCGGUUUGGAUGGCGGUCAUGUAAUAGGAUAGGCAAUUGGUUUACCUAUCUAUAUUUAGCCAGCCGGAUGUGGCGUCUUUUCUUGGCUAGUCUGUGUGUCUAG
Molecule: ribosomal RNA, 1074 nt
Filed under: Triticum aestivum (bread wheat)
Lineage: Eukaryota; Viridiplantae; Streptophyta; Magnoliopsida; Poales; Poaceae
Description: partial small subunit ribosomal RNA
Source: RNAcentral